RNAcentral lists this ribosomal RNA (482 nucleotides) under uncultured bacterium. Its description in RNAcentral is "partial 16S ribosomal RNA". It matches the Rfam family "Bacterial small subunit ribosomal RNA", at positions 30 to 507 of the family's 1533-position model. The record is from RNAcentral.
AUUGAACGCUGGCGGCAUGCCUUACACAUGCAAGUCGAACGGUAACGGGCCUUCGGGUGCCGACGAGUGGCGAACGGGUGAGUAAUACAUCGGAACGUGCCCGAUCGUGGGGGAUAACGAGGCGAAAGCUUUGCUAAUACCGCAUACGAUCUACGGAUGAAAGCAGGGGACCGCAAGGCCUUGCGCGGACGGAGCGGCCGAUGGCAGAUUAGGUAGUUGGUGGGAUAAAAGCUUACCAAGCCGACGAUCUGUAGCUGGUCUGAGGGGAUGAUCAGCCACACUGGGACUGAGGCACGGCCCAGACUCCUACGGGAGGCAGCAGUGGGGAAUUUUGGACAAUGGGCGCAAGCCUGAUCCAGCCAUGCCGCGUGCAGGAUGAAGGCCUUCGGGUUGUAAACUGCUUUUGUACGGAACGAAAAGCCUUCUUUUAAUACAGGAGGGUCAUGACGGUACCGUAAGAAUAAGCACCGGCUAACUACGUG